AUUUCAAGUGCACGGCACCGCAGCAACUCUAUUGCUUGCGCUAUGCGCGGCUGGUUUUUCACCAGCUUUUCAAUUUCAUCCUCGCGCGCAACAAAGAUCCCAGCUGGGAAGAGCAAGGAGGGACAGGAGGGGCAGGAGCGGCUGGUGUUGCUGCUUGCAGCGUAAGCGGCAACGGCAAGAGAGAAAAAGCGAAAGUGGGGGCGGGAGCUGGUGAAGCACAAGCAUGCGGGAUCAGGCAGGAUCGGAAACAACGCGUAAGCAGCCAAAGCCAACGGUCAAACGGCAGAAAGAGAAUAGCUAAAUAGCUUACGACAGUGUGACAUACGCGCGCAUUCACGGCCAGUUCUUUACUCAUAAUUACGUACGCAAUCCGCUAAUUAACACCGCUGUAAGUGACUGCACGACCCGCGGAAACCCUUCUGGAUUUACGCGUCUCGCGGCUGUGUGUUUAGACCCGUCAAUCAACCACAAUCUCCUGCAUUUUGGUGUGAACUCGACGAUGCAUCGUUUUGCAGAUUGCUAAUUGUGAAACGGCAACUUCCAUCGAAAUGGCCCCGCCACCCCAGCAUCUUCCAUGUGAAAGGAACCCCAUUGAGGCUCCUGCGCUGAUCGUGAGGGACGGAUCUCUUUUGGAGGGAAACCCUGGGAUAAAAUGGUUCGAUAUUUCUGAGUGGGCCCAAGAUGAAGAGGAGGAAGAAGUAGAAGCAAAUGAAGAAGAAGAAGAAUACGGAGCCACGUGAGACAAUUUUUUUAUUCUACUGAAUCGUCUUCGAUAUUGUGCCGACUGUUUCUGCUGCUCGUCGGAAGGCUCGGUUCGCACUCGAAAGGGGGUUCAACCUCGCGCUCUCCCCCUCGCAGGGAGGGUGGUGGUUGUGGUCAUGGUUGUAAGGUCAAACUCUCCCCUUCCAUUAGAUGACCUAAACCACAACCACCAUUCUCCCUGUGAGGGUGAGAGCGUGAGAGAGCCAGAAUGGAACCCCUCUCGAGUACGAACUGAGCCCGACGAAGAGCCAGCCGUGAGCAGCAGAAGCUGUUUAAAUUUUAUAUUUAUUAACAUGCCAACCAUUUUGAGUUUAUGAAAACAUUUAUUUUCGUACUUGUAUUUUAAUUUAAUGUUUUAAUUAUGAAUUUAUUUCCAUCUUCAGUCAUCAAAUUAAUAUAUUUUUGAUCGUUUUUUUUUUUAAGUAAGAAAUCUUAAGUAUGGUUAAGAUAACAUCGUAUUUAAAUAGUUUUUUAAGGAUUGUUCAUUUGCAUAGGUCUGCAUGUUUAUUUCAUUACUUAAAGGAUAUUGUGCCGACUGCCUCGCUGCUCGCGGCUAGCUCGUCGAAGAGCUCGGUUCGUGUUCGAGAGUGGGUUCAGACCUGGCUCUCGCGCUCUCACCCUCGCAGGGAUGGUGGUGGUUGUGGUUUCGGUUGUUUAUGAGGGAUUUUGAUCUAGGUAAAAGUCAAAAUACCGCCUAAUUGAAAAUUACCCUUAAUACUCUCGUGAAAAUUCACCCUUUAAUGUUAAUUCCGCGAGUGGGGAAUCAAAAUUGAGGUCAAACUCUCCCUUAGAAGACCAAAAUCACAACCACCACCCUCCCUGCAAGGGUGCGAGUGCAAGAGCCAGGUCGGAAUCCCCUCUCAAGUGCGAACCGAGCCCUUCGACGAGCUAGCCGCGAGCAGUAGAACAAAUGUUUGCGAAUAAUAAUUGUAAUUGCAUAUGUAUAAUGGUCUUAAUAUGCUGAAAAUAAAUAUAUUUAAUGCAAAAUUAAAGCCUAGU
Molecule: long non-coding RNA, 1761 nt
Organism: Cloeon dipterum
Lineage: Eukaryota; Metazoa; Arthropoda; Insecta; Ephemeroptera; Baetidae
Exons: 3
Source: RefSeq, a predicted model, not a curated record